This 744-nucleotide long non-coding RNA is filed under the name Olea europaea subsp. europaea. The record is from RNAcentral. Lineage: Eukaryota; Viridiplantae; Streptophyta; Magnoliopsida; Lamiales; Oleaceae.
CCCCAUUGUUAUCCGAAAAUCACUAACAGCAACGUCGAAGCUACCGCCACCCAUCCUACACCGACACCACCGCUCCUUCCACCACCACUCCCUAUCGCAAGAAUUUACAACUUGUUUGUGACCAAAUGCUUUACCAGAAACAAGGUUAAAAAACCAAAAUCCCCAACAACCCAAUCGACCCGAGCAAUCACCUUCACAAUAUUCAAUCCCGUCCCAUUUUCAAUUGAUUCAAGUGGUUGCAAAUACGAGAUAUGUAGAGAGAAACUGGUGGGGACAUUGCGCUGAGUUAGUAAUGACAAUUGUUUGAUGCAACGCAUGACUAUUUUCAUCACAAUUGUUGUCAGGCAGCAUGGUCCAAUCGACUCUCGUUUCUUGCUCUCCUAUUUUUUUUCCCCUUUUUUCAUUGAUUUAUUCUUGAGAUUUCUGCUUAUUGUUUGGCAGAUUAACCUUUUUUCAUCUAUGUAGAAGAUUCAUGGGUUUCAAUGCUGCUCUAGUCUACCCAAUCACAAAAACAAAGAAACCCAAACGCCUCAGUGAUUGAAGGUUGCUGUCAGUGGCAAUUUUUGUAGCGGUGGUGCUUGGUGGGUGUCGACAGUUUUGGUGGUGGAUGAGCAAAUAUUAACAUUUUCCGACAGUAGGGAGUGAUGGUGGAAGGAUUGGUGGCACUAGUAUGGGAUGGGUGGCAGUGACGCCGACACUACUGUUAGUGGUUAUGGGAUAAGGGUGGGGAAAAGUGGGAUGGAU